GAUGAACGCUGACAGAAUGCUUAACACAUGCAAGUCAACUUGAAUUUGGGUUUUUAACUUAGGUUUGGGUGGCGGACGGGUGAGUAACGCGUAAAGAACUUGCCUCACAGCUAGGGACAACAUUUGGAAACGAAUGCUAAUACCUAAUAUUAUGAUAAUAGGGCAUCCUAUAAUUAUGAAAGCUAUAAGCGCUGUGAGAGAGCUUUGCGUCCCAUUAGCUAGUUGGAGAGGUAACGGCUCACCAAGGCGAUGAUGGGUAGCCGGCCUGAGAGGGUGAUCGGCCACAAGGGGACUGAGACACGGCCCUUACUCCUACGGGAGGCAGCAGUGGGGAAUAUUGGACAAUGGACCAAGAGUCUGAUCCAGCAAUUCUGUGUGCACGAUGAAGUUUUUCGGAAUGUAAAGUGCUUUCAGUUGGGAAGAAAGAAAUGACGGUACCAACAGAAGAAGUGACGGCUAAAUACGUGCCAGCAGCCGCGGUAAUACGUAUGUCACGAGCGUUAUCCGGAUUUAUUGGGCGUAAAGCGCGUCUAGGUGGUUAUAUAAGUCUGAUGUGAAAAUGCAGGGCUCAACUCUGUAUUGCGUUGGAAACCGUAUAACUAGAGUACUGGAGAGGUAAGCGGAACUACUAGUGUAGAGGUGAAAUUCGUAGAUAUUUGUAGGAAUGCCGAUGGGGAAGCCAGCUUACUGGACAGAUACUGACGCUGAAGCGCGAAAGCGUGGGUAGCAAACAGGAUUAUAUACCCUGGUAGUCCAAGGGGCGAAUUCCACAGUGUAUAUCAGCUUAUCUGAUUGCUGUCGACCUCGAGGGGGGGCCCGGUACCCUGCUUUUGUGCCCUUUAGUGAGGUGUUA
RNAcentral lists this ribosomal RNA (853 nucleotides) under uncultured Fusobacterium sp. RNAcentral's name for it is "bacterial SSU rRNA". It matches the Rfam family "Bacterial small subunit ribosomal RNA". Lineage: Bacteria; Fusobacteriati; Fusobacteriota; Fusobacteriia; Fusobacteriales; Fusobacteriaceae. The record is from RNAcentral.